Molecule: transfer RNA, 67 nt
Filed under: Mystilus priamus
Lineage: Eukaryota; Metazoa; Arthropoda; Insecta; Hemiptera; Miridae
Description: tRNA-Ser
Rfam family: tRNA
About the family: Transfer RNA (tRNA) molecules are approximately 80 nucleotides in length.
Source: RNAcentral
AGUUAAUAAGCAAAAAUAUGCAUAUAUUUUGAAAAUAUAAAUUAAAGGUUAAAACCUUUAUUAACUU